GUGAAUCAUGGUAUCAUGGCCCAACCAUGAGUAUAAUGGUGGUUUAUAACCCUACCACGGGGGUGAAACAUAGUAUAUGGCCUAGCCACGGAUAUAGUGAUGGUUUAUAAUCCUACCAUGGGGGUAAAACAU
Juglans microcarpa x Juglans regia is the source of this 132-nucleotide long non-coding RNA. RefSeq lists it as uncharacterized. The transcript is spliced from 3 exons. NCBI's taxonomy places the organism in Eukaryota, Viridiplantae, Streptophyta, Magnoliopsida, Fagales, Juglandaceae. The record is from RefSeq and is a predicted model, not a curated record.